RNAcentral lists this ribosomal RNA (460 nucleotides) under uncultured bacterium. RNAcentral describes it as "partial 16S ribosomal RNA". It matches the Rfam family "Bacterial small subunit ribosomal RNA", at positions 338 to 795 of the family's 1533-position model. The record is from RNAcentral.
CCUACGGGAGGCUGCAGUGAGGAAUAUUGGUCAAUGGACGAGAGUCUGAACCAGCCAAGUAGCGUGAAGGAUGACUGCCCUAUGGGUUGUAAACUUCUUUUAUAUGGGAAUAAAAUGUUCCACGUGUGGGAUUUUGUAUGUACCAUAUGAAUAAGGAUCGGCUAACUCCGUGCCAGCAGCCGCGGUAAUACGGAGGAUCCGAGCGUUAUCCGGAUUUAUUGGGUUUAAAGGGAGCGUAGGUGGAUUGUUAAGUCAGUUGUGAAAUUUUGCGGCUCAACCGUAAAAUUGCAGUUGAGACUGGCAGUCUUGAGUACAGUAGAGGUGGGCGGAAUUCGUGGUGUAGCGGUGAAAUGCUUAGAUAUCACGAAGAACUCCGAUUGCGAAGGCAGCUCACUGGACUGCAACUGACACUGAGGCUCGAAAGUGUGGGUAUCAAACAGGAUUAGAUACCCGAGUAGUC